AGUGAACGCUGGCGGUAGGCCUAACACAUGCAAGUCGAACGGCAGCACAGUAAGAGCUUGCUCUUACGGGUGGCGAGUGGCGGACGGGUGAGGAAUACAUCGGAAUCUACUUUUUCGUGGGGGAUAACGUAGGGAAACUUAUGCUAAUACCGCAUACGACCUACGGGUGAAAGCAGGGGAUCUUCGGACCUUGCGCGAUUGAAUGAGCCGAUGUCGGAUUAGCUAGUUGGCGGGGUAAAGGCCCACCAAGGCGACGAUCCGUAGCUGGUCUAAGAGGAUGAUCAGCCACACUGGAACUGAGACACGGUCCAGACUCCUACGGGAGGCAGCAGUGGGGAAUAUUGGACAAUGGGCGCAAGCCUGAUCCAGCCAUACCGCGUGGGUGAAGAAGGCCUUCGGGUUGUAAAGCCCUUUUGUUGGGAAAGAAAAGCAGCAGGUUAAUACCCCGCUGUUCUGACGGUACCCAAAGAAUAAGCACCGGCUAACUUCGUG
This 492-nucleotide ribosomal RNA is filed under the name uncultured bacterium. RNAcentral's name for it is "partial 16S ribosomal RNA". It matches the Rfam family "Bacterial small subunit ribosomal RNA", at positions 29 to 507 of the family's 1533-position model. The record is from RNAcentral.